GGGGCAAAUGGAUAUAAUUUUCAAUAAGUUUGAAUUGACUAAAUUAAUUUUAUAUUAUAUAAUAUAUUUUAAUUUGAAUUUAUAUUUUAAAAAAUUUAUAUUUACAAUAUAAUACGUUUUGAAAUACGGUAAAAGAAAAUAAUUGUUUCGAAUUUGAAUUCAAAUUUCAGAUUUUUAGUCAGGUACGGAUUUGAAUGUGAAUUUUUAAAAUCCAUCAGAUUGGAUUCAGGUUGUAAUUUAGUUUUCGGGUUUAUAGUCGGGUUUCAGUUUAGAUUUUUGAAAAUUCUGUUGGCAUCCCUAGGCUCUAAUUGCGAAAAAAAAGUAUUAAAUUUAAUUGAUUGGUUUUUUCAUCUCUAACCAAUCACAUUUAGCCGCUAGAAUUCAUCAAAUUUAUCACAAUUUUUUAAACAAUAUUUUAAUUAUAGUUUUUUUUUUUAAGUAGGGAAAUUUAAUUGAUUUAGUGGUAUGGGUCACAUAGUGUGCGCCCUUAGUGCCCAACCUUUACCAAAUUUCUAGCAAUUAGAUUCUCAAUCGUUAAAACAAAAUUAAUUGCACUAUUGAUUGCUAAUCUUGAGUAGAGCUACUAUGCUAUCAGAAACAUAGAGGAUCUACUGCUUUCGACUUUUUGGCCUUUAAAUCAGUUCUUUUAAUCAUUUCUAACUUUUAGAUUAAUAUUAUUAACCUAUGGAGACCACUCAACUCCAGGGAUACUACUCAAUCCUAGGGAGGACCGUAAUCAUCCCAACCGUAUAAUUCUUGAUUUAAGCAUUAAAAAAUCGGAAGUAUCAAAUCCUCUAUACUUCCGAUAGCAUAGUAGUUUUACACGCUAAUCUUUAUCUAUCUUAUUAAUUUGGGUCCUAUACUCUCAAUAUCUUUCUAUGCACCCACAACCUUCUCAACCUUGUACAUAAUACCUACUAU
This 921-nucleotide long non-coding RNA is filed under the name Ananas comosus (pineapple). RNAcentral's name for it is "long non-coding RNA (ACOM_LNC027025)". The record is from RNAcentral. Lineage: Eukaryota; Viridiplantae; Streptophyta; Magnoliopsida; Poales; Bromeliaceae.